Molecule: transfer RNA, 77 nt
Filed under: Deltaproteobacteria bacterium
Lineage: Bacteria; Pseudomonadati; Myxococcota; Myxococcia
Also listed under: 2 other names
Description: tRNA-Arg
Rfam family: tRNA
About the family: Transfer RNA (tRNA) molecules are approximately 80 nucleotides in length. Their secondary structure includes four short double-helical elements and three loops (D, anti-codon, and T loops). Further hydrogen bonds mediate the characteristic L-shaped molecular structure. tRNAs have two regions of fundamental functional importance: the anti-codon, which is responsible for specific mRNA codon recognition, and the 3' end, to which the tRNAs corresponding amino acid is attached (by aminoacyl-tRNA synthetases). tRNAs cope with the degeneracy of the genetic code in two manners: having more than one tRNA (with a specific anti-codon) for a particular amino acid; and 'wobble' base-pairing, i.e. permitting non-standard base-pairing at the 3rd anti-codon position.
Source: RNAcentral
GCGCCUGUAGCUCAGACGGACAGAGCAACUGCCUUCUAAGCAGUGGGUCGGAGGUUCGAAUCCUCUCAGGCGCGCCA